UACGAAGGGGGCUAGCGUUGCUCGGAAUCACUGGGCGUAAAGCGCACGUAGGCGGCUUUUUAAGUCGGCGGUGAAAUCCUGGAGCUCAACUCCAGAACUGCCUCCGAUACUGAAAGGCUUGAGUCCGGGAGAGGUGAGUGGAACUGCGAGUGUAGAGGUGAAAUUCGUAGAUAUUCGCAAGAACACCAGUGGCGAAGGCGGCUCACUGGACCGGUACUGACGCUGAGGUGCGAAAGCGAGGGGAGCAAACAGG
This 253-nucleotide ribosomal RNA is filed under the name uncultured bacterium. RNAcentral describes it as "partial 16S ribosomal RNA". It matches the Rfam family "Bacterial small subunit ribosomal RNA", at positions 524 to 776 of the family's 1533-position model. The record is from RNAcentral.